This 541-nucleotide long non-coding RNA is filed under the name Equus caballus (horse). RNAcentral's name for it is "lncRNA (ENSECAG00000054159.1)". Lineage: Eukaryota; Metazoa; Chordata; Mammalia; Perissodactyla; Equidae. The record is from RNAcentral.
CUCUGUUCUAUUUUUCUCAAAAACUUCAAAAUGAGGCAGUGGCAGAAAUGACCCAUUUUUCUCAUUUUGUAUAAUUUUGUAUUUAAAUUCUCACUAUUGGGGACCUUCAUAAUAAUGAGAUUUAGCCAGAGCCUUGCACCAGUUUUAAAGAAGGACUUCAUUCAGAAGACAGUGUUCUGAAUUGGAAAUAGAUCAAGGAAAAAGAAAAAACUUCGAUGCAAAGGAAAAAGAGAAAGUGAAGCGAGCUAUAAUCAACCAAGUAUAACAGCCAGAUCUUGUUCCACUACUCCAGUUAAAAUGAUGCAUCAGUAAUAACGAAGUCUGGAAGGACCACACCCAUCCCUCCACAGCCUCAGCCUCUGCUGCUUUGUCCAUCAGGCAUCCCUGAGUUCACUUGGCAUGGAAGGAGUCCUGAUGCUGAGCCACUUCAUUUGGACAGAGCUCCACAACGUCUUUAUCUGGCCGAUUCUAGUUUAGUCGUUUCCUCUGAGAAAACCAUCCAUAAGGCCAGAGAAGGAACCGGUCCUUCACAGUAGCUCCU